RNAcentral lists this long non-coding RNA (835 nucleotides) under Lathyrus oleraceus (garden pea). Its description in RNAcentral is "Pisum sativum (pea) long non-coding RNA (PSAT_LNC012260)". The record is from RNAcentral. Lineage: Eukaryota; Viridiplantae; Streptophyta; Magnoliopsida; Fabales; Fabaceae.
GGCAUUAUGCAUUCCUUGAGACAUUAAUUCCUCUAUUGCAGCUAGCCAUAUUUUGUCCUCGAAACUGAAGUCCUGCAGCCUCAUUUUCACUAUCUCCGGUAAAAGAUGCUCCAUCACAGUACCUUAAUUUGACUCUAUUCCAGUUAAAGAAAUCAGGGUUUUCUUCUGGUUUAUUACUCAAUAUUCCUGUGAAUGGUAUUUGAUUUUCCAUGUAGUUUGAGGAACCACGACGAGUCUUUUUUUUUUUAUACACACAGUUUCUGAUAGUGUUACAUCAACCUCCACUACUGUCAUGUUGUGACCCGCAAUGGCAAAGGAAAGCUCGUCGUUGAGUGCAGCGUUGAUGAUUCUCAUGAGGUAUGUCUUCCCUUGCUCUACCUCCAUUGCAAAUGUAUGCUUUUCAAAACAAGGAAAUAGUGGUCCUGGUUUGUAUUGUAUGAACUGGAACAUAAUGCCUUGUACCUUACUGUCACCUAUUGUAUAUCUUAAUCUUUUGUCAAGAAUAUAUUUGAACAUUUGACAUCGCGGUGUAGAAUGUGAUUUGUAUGCAUCUUGGUGUCAUUGUUCUGCAACUAUGAAAGUUCCAUUGAAAGCCUUUCUCAUUGGCACCAAACUGUGAGGACUAUUAUCAACCACUUCGAAGCAAAUUUUAUUCUUGUUCCACCAGCCAUGUACUAAGAGAGAUUAUAUUAUUGAGAGCAUUCACCAUAUAAGUCUCAUUCUUAGGCAUGAGUCUCCGCACUUCUGAAUGUCUGCAAAAGAGUGAUACUCUUAAUUCGCACUUUAUCUGCCCUUUUCAUUCACAGCUUCAACAACUGCAAAGCAAAUUGACAGC